AGAAGGUGUCAAAGCUCUGUGAUAGAUAGAUCAGCAUUGUUCUGCUCCUUACCUUUUCCACUUCAAACAGACUGACUAGUCAUGAGAAAUUGGCUGAUCCUUCAUGUUCUGGCUGCAUGCUGCUUUGGGUGCAGAGCAGAAGAGAGUGUAAUACAGCCAACAGAAGAUGUAAUGGUCGUAGAAGGACACCCAACAACACUCAGUUGUACAUUUGAUACCACUGAUCUAUCACCAUAUCUCUUCUGGUACAAACAACAAGCAAAUGGCAAACCCAUGUUUAUGCUGAGAGAGGAUACAUUUGGAACUGGGGAAACUGCUACUGAGUUCAGGGAGAGAUUUCAUGCACGUCUGAAUGUCACAGCAAAGUCAGUCCCCUUGAUGAUCCAGAGGUUGCAGCUGUCUGACUCUGCUGUGUACUACUGUGCUCUGAAGCCCACUGUGACAACAGGAUAUUCAGCCCUCUUACAGAAACUACAAGUUUCACAUGUGUCCAUAGAAACAUUCAGUACCAGUGAAAAGUUGGGACAAAAGCACAAUAUGCAUUUCAAUAUACUUUAUGUACAGAAGUAGAUCUGAAUUAUUUACUCUGUAGGCUACACAAGUGUUUGUUCAUUAUUUUUAAAAGAAUACGUGUAUGUUUUCACAACAUAUCAGAAAAAUAAGUUUAUCAUACAUACUUCAUGGAACAUUUAUGUCAUUGAAAAUUGCUUUAGGCUACUUUCCAUUUUAUGUGAGCUAGACGUAAGCUUUUUACUUUGACUAAUGAAAUGCAAAGAGUGCUUAUAUCUAAUACUGAUGAGGUAAUAUUGACCAAUACAUUUCUAUACAAUCUUCCCUGUCUCUAAACAGGCUCCUCCUUCAUGUCUGUCAGUUGAUGGUGAUAUACAGGCUGAGAUGGACAUGGAAGAGAGAGAGAGGAUCUCUACCUCUUACUGUAACUCAGUCACUCUGUGUGUUCUGUAUAACCAUGUUACUCUGUCUGAUCAUCUGGCUGGUUCUUGAUGUAUUCUGCUUCGAGUGCACAGCAGACCAAGUUCAACAGCAACCAGGAGGUGUGAUUGCUACAGAAGGAGGACUGGUAACACUGAGUUGUCAAUAUAACACCAGUGCUAAUAAUGCAUAUCUAUAUUGGU
Oncorhynchus kisutch (coho salmon) is the source of this 1133-nucleotide long non-coding RNA. RefSeq lists it as uncharacterized. Lineage: Eukaryota; Metazoa; Chordata; Actinopteri; Salmoniformes; Salmonidae. The transcript has 3 exons. The record is from RefSeq and is a predicted model, not a curated record.